Papaver somniferum (opium poppy) is the source of this 515-nucleotide long non-coding RNA. RefSeq lists it as uncharacterized. The transcript is spliced from 6 exons. The record is from RefSeq and is a predicted model, not a curated record. Lineage: Eukaryota; Viridiplantae; Streptophyta; Magnoliopsida; Ranunculales; Papaveraceae.
AGGUAUUGGAGUUUCUGUACACAACAUCGAUGCCACUAGUCUUAGCUUUGAAGGAUCUUUCUCUGGAUGGAACACUGGCUCCUGAAAUUUGUAAUUUUUUGUACACGAAGUUGAUAUAGUGUCACUGGGUAGGAGAAAGUUCAGCACAGAUUUUCAGACUGCUAAAGGCGUUGAUGUUCUUUGGAUUUAUAGUGACGCAUUGAUUGAUGAAUGGAGAAUACACAAGAAGCAAGUUAUGGCUUCAUGACCUUGCUGGAAGUGAGAGAUUAGCCAAGCCAGACGUUUAAGGAGAUCCGCUGAAAGAAACUCAAAUUAUUAACAGAUCCUUAUCUGCACUGGGAGGUGUGAUAGCAGCGCUGGCGACCAAAAUCCCACAUAUUCCUUUCAGGAAUUCAAAGCUCACUCACUUGCUCCAAGAUUCUCUAGGGUGACAAUUGCUUUUCAAUAAAGCAACAACUUGUAACAUACAGAAGCAGCUGUAAACUGGAGAAUGUGGACCAAGUUGAAGAAAAUCU